AACGAACGCUGGCGGCAUGCCUAACACAUGCAAGUCGAACGAGACCUUCGGGUCUAGUGGCGCACGGUUGCGUAACGCGUGGGAACCUGCCCUUAGGUUCGGAAUAACUCCCCGAAAGGGGUGCUAAUACCGGAUAAUGUCUUCGGACCAAAGAUUUAUCGCCUUUGGAUGGGCCCGCGUUGGAUUAGCUAGUUGGUAGGGUAAAAGCCUACCAAGGCGACGAUCCAUAGCUGGUCUGAGAGGAUGAUCAGCCACACUGGGACUGAGACACGGCCCAGACUCCUACGGGAGGCAGCAGUGGGGAAUAUUGGACAAUGGGCGAAAGCCUGAUCCAGCAAUGCCGCGUGAGUGAUGAAGGCAUUAGGGUUGUAAAGCUCUUUUACCCGGGAUGAUAAUGACAGUACCGGGAGAAUAAGCUCCGGCUAACUCCGUG
RNAcentral lists this ribosomal RNA (433 nucleotides) under uncultured bacterium. RNAcentral describes it as "partial 16S ribosomal RNA". It matches the Rfam family "Bacterial small subunit ribosomal RNA", at positions 29 to 507 of the family's 1533-position model. The record is from RNAcentral.